UGGCUCUGGCAUCGAUGAAGAACGCAGCGAAAUGCGAUACGUAAUGUGAAUUGCAGAAUUCCGUGAAUCAUCGAAUCUUUGAACGCACAUUGCGCCCGCCAGUACUCUGGCGGGCAUGCCUGUCCGAGCGUCAUUUCAACCCUCAAGCCCAGCUUGGUGUUGGGGAUCGGCCCGCCCCUAGCGGCGCGCCGGCCCUGAAAUCUAGUGGCGGUCUCGCUGUAGCCUCCCCUGCGUAGUAGCGAUAUCUCGCACCGGAGCGCGGCAAGGCCACGCCGUUAAACCCCCCACUUCUGGAUGGUUGACCUCGGAUCAGGUAGGAAUACCCGCUGA
This 330-nucleotide unclassified non-coding RNA is filed under the name uncultured fungus. RNAcentral describes it as "partial contains 5.8S ribosomal RNA and internal transcribed spacer 2". The stretch from base 1 to 133 matches the Rfam family "5.8S ribosomal RNA", at positions 22 to 154 of the family's 154-position model. Lineage: Eukaryota; Fungi. The record is from RNAcentral.